UGUUCCCAGAAGCUACAACAAUCACAAGCUAUCAUAUUAACACCCCUUUUUUUAAUAAGGUAAGGAACAGUGGUAGGACCUCCAGCUCAAAUUAAAUCGUCAGACCAUUUUAUUUUUUUUGUUGUUUUUGUCUCUUUCCCCCAACAGUAUCUCUAAUAUUUUUAAACGCAUUCAGUUUUGUUUCCUAACAGAUUUAGUCAUGGUGGAUUGGACUUCCAUAUAUCAAGUAUAAUCGUCUUAGUGCAGUUUUCCUGUGCAGAAUAUUAAGAGUUGCUAUAAAAUAACGCACCUGAAAGCAUUCCUUUAAGAACUGAGUCAAGUGAAUGAGUCAUUUAAAGCCCUUUUCAAAGCAGCUUAUUGCUUCCAUGUGGCAAUGAUUCAGGCUGGAUUUCCUCCUUGACUAUAGAAAUAUUUGACAUAGAAUUACUAAAUGUUUGUGAGGCAAAGGUGAGCUAAAGUGCUUGGAGUUGAUUUGGAACAUUUCAUCUGAAAGAUGAUGUACAGAUUAAAUAAACAGACUUUAGUUUUGGAUUUAAUAUAAUAGAAACUUCAGCCAUGAUCAUUUCUUCCCAUAUUUUUGUCACUAAUGGGUAUACCUUUUCUAAAAUUGGUCAACGAUGGAGUCCUGCUGGAGGUGACGUGUUGACCGUAAUAAGUGGGAGAGAGUUUGGAGAACAGAAAGCUUCAGUUUCAUCUUCAGCUUAUUUCAAUCCUAUCUUUCCGCAAGAAGUGCCCCGUCAAGUUUUGAAUCACAACAGUCUGUUUUAGCUUCAGGUCCGGAUGGGACGGCUUCUGGGUCUGGAUCCGGACUGUGGUCCGCCACUUAGCGACCUCUGGACUAGAAUAUACUGACAGAGGAAUAUACCUACUGGGACAUCUCACUUGAAUAAAAUAAAGGACUGCUCUCAUUCCCACGAUUUGGUUAAAGAAGACUGAUCAACCUUAUCAGAUUUCACCCAAACAACUCUUUUUAUUAUAGCCAUUGUAUAAACUUCAUCCUUUGCUCAUCUUUAAUAUCCAGACUGUCAUGGGGUGAUAGCCAGAAUGAGGGUUGUACUCAAAAGCGGGAUUCAGAGAAAUAAAAGAUUUUAUUUUUGGCAGCAGAGGGACUUAGUU
Molecule: long non-coding RNA, 1116 nt
Organism: Gasterosteus aculeatus aculeatus (three-spined stickleback)
Lineage: Eukaryota; Metazoa; Chordata; Actinopteri; Perciformes; Gasterosteidae
Source: Ensembl